UACGUAGGGGGCUAGCGUUAUCCGGAAUUACUGGGCGUAAAGGGUGCGUAGGUGGUUUCUUAAGUCAGAGGUGAAAGGCUACGGCUCAACCGUAGUAAGCCUUUGAAACUGGGGAACUUGAGUGCAGGAGAGGAGAGUGGAAUUCCUAGUGUAGCGGUGAAAUGCGUAGAUAUUAGGAGGAACACCAGUUGCGAAGGCGGCUCUCUGGACUGUAACUGGCACUGAGGCACGAAAGCGUGGGGAGCAAACAGG
RNAcentral lists this ribosomal RNA (252 nucleotides) under uncultured bacterium. Its description in RNAcentral is "partial 16S ribosomal RNA". It matches the Rfam family "Bacterial small subunit ribosomal RNA", at positions 524 to 776 of the family's 1533-position model. The record is from RNAcentral.